This 253-nucleotide ribosomal RNA is filed under the name uncultured bacterium. Its description in RNAcentral is "partial 16S ribosomal RNA". It matches the Rfam family "Bacterial small subunit ribosomal RNA", at positions 524 to 776 of the family's 1533-position model. The record is from RNAcentral.
UACGGAGGGUGCAAGCGUUAAUCGGAAUUACUGGGCGUAAAGCGCACGUAGGUGGUUUGUUAAGCCAGCUGUGAAAUCCCCGGGCUCAACCUGGGCACUGCAGUUGGAACUGGCAAGCUAGAGUAGGGUAGAGGGGCGUGGAAUUCCGGGGGGAGCGGUGAAAUGCGUAGAGAUCCGGAGGAACACCGACGGCGUAGGCAGCGCCCUGGCCGUUUCCUGACGCUGAUGCACGAAAGCUGGGGGAGCAAACAGG